This 851-nucleotide ribosomal RNA is filed under the name marine metagenome. RNAcentral describes it as "bacterial SSU rRNA". It matches the Rfam family "Bacterial small subunit ribosomal RNA", at positions 338 to 1207 of the family's 1533-position model. The record is from RNAcentral.
CCUACGGGAGGCAGCAGUAGGGAAUAUUGCACAAUGGAGGAAACUCUGAUGCAGCGAUGCCGCGUGAGUGAAGAAGGCCCUUGGGUUGUAAAGCUCUUUCGUCGGGGAAGAAAAUGACUGUACCCGAAUAAGAAGGUCCGGCUAACUUCGUGCCAGCAGCCGCGGUAAUACGAAGGGACCUAGCGUAGUUCGGAAUUACUGGGCUUAAAGAGUUCGUAGGUGGUUAAAAAAGUUGGUUGUGAAAUCCCGAAGCUUAACUUCGGAACUGCAAUCAAAACUUUUUAGCUAGAGUGUGAUAGAGGAAAGCAGAAUUUCUAGUGUAGAGGUGAAAUUCGUAGAUAUUAGAAAGAAUACCAAUUGCGAAGGCAGCUUUCUGGAUCAUUACUGACGCUGAGGAACGAAAGCAUGGGUAGCGAAGAGGAUUAGAUACCCUCGUAGUCCAUGCCGUAAACGAUGUGUGUUAGACGUUGGAAAUUUAUUUUCAGUGUCGCAGCGAAAGCAAUAAACACACCGCCUGGGGAGUACGACCGCAAGGUUAAAACUCAAAUGAAUUGACGGGGACCCGCACAAGUAGUGGAGCAUGUGGUUUAAUUCGAAGAUACGCGCAGAACCUUACCAACACUUGACAUGUUCGUCGCGACUCUAAGAGAUUAGAGUUUUCGGUUCGGCCGGACGAAACACAGGUGCUGCAUGGCUGUCGUCAGCUCGUGUCGUGAGAUGUUGGGUUAAGUCCCGCAACGAGCGCAACCCUCACUUUUAGUUGCCAUCAUUUAGUUGGGCACUCUGAAAGAACUGCCAGUGAUAAGCUGGAGGAAGGUGGGGAUGACGUCAAGUCCUCAUGGCCCUUACGU